RNAcentral lists this small nucleolar RNA (105 nucleotides) under Olea europaea subsp. europaea. RNAcentral describes it as "Small nucleolar RNA snoR136". It matches the Rfam family "Small nucleolar RNA snoR136". The record is from Rfam by way of RNAcentral. Lineage: Eukaryota; Viridiplantae; Streptophyta; Magnoliopsida; Lamiales; Oleaceae.
AUAGCUGUUUCUGCUUGACUCGUUCCCUUGAAGCUAUAUUAUCCGUGUUCCUCUCGCUAUCCAUUGUUCUCUUUUAGUUCAUUUGGACGUUGGGGAACUACAUGU